UUCACGGUGCAGAUCUGUACAGGGUAGGAAGGUCCUCUACUCAGGAAGUCUUACAGUUUCUAAGGCUCUCAGUCCCACCUCUAGCAAAUACAAAAAUGCCUCGAUCUAAUUGUCGUUUUUAAUUAUUAUUUAUUAUUUUAAUCUGUGAUUACAAGUCACAAACGAAUUCAGUCAAUUCGUCACCUCUGUGUGAAAAUGGAUAGAGUUGUGGGAAUUAGGAAGAAAUCGAGAAAGAACGAAUGAGUCAGAAGCCUUGCAAACUCAGAAUGAAUGACUUCCUUUUUUGAUCCAACAGUACCAAGAAGACUAAAGUAAAAGAAUGAAAAAGAGAUACCUCAAGUACUGUCCAGGUUGAUGACUGCUCCAUUCACAACAAAUAAGAGAUGGAAUUGACCUAGAUGUCCAUCCACAGAUGAAUGGAUUAAAAUGUAAUACGUGAAGUUGUAUUCAUUCAUAAAGAAAGAAAAAGAAAAUCAUGGCAUUUGUAGGAAAACGUCUUGAAAUUAGAAAUCAUUAUGUUAAGUAAAAUAAGCUAGACUCUGGAAAACAAACUUCUCUAAUUUACG
Molecule: long non-coding RNA, 566 nt
Filed under: Cricetulus griseus (Chinese hamster)
Lineage: Eukaryota; Metazoa; Chordata; Mammalia; Rodentia; Cricetidae
Description: lncRNA (ENSCGRG00015029177.1)
Source: RNAcentral